This 1489-nucleotide ribosomal RNA is filed under the name Mycolicibacterium moriokaense. RNAcentral describes it as "16S ribosomal RNA". It matches the Rfam family "Bacterial small subunit ribosomal RNA". The record is from RNAcentral. Lineage: Bacteria; Bacillati; Actinomycetota; Actinomycetes; Mycobacteriales; Mycobacteriaceae.
UAGAGUUUGAUCCUGGCUCAGGACGAACGCUGGCGGCGUGCUUAACACAUGCAAGUCGAACGGAAAGGCCCUUUCGGGGGUACUCGAGUGGCGAACGGGUGAGUAACACGUGGGUGAUCUGCCCUGCACUUUGGGAUAAGCCUGGGAAACUGGGUCUAAUACCGAAUACACCCUGCUGGUCGCAUGGCCUGGUGGGGGAAAGCUUUUGCGGUGUGGGAUGGGCCCGCGGCCUAUCAGCUUGUUGGUGGGGUGAUGGCCUACCAAGGCGACGACGGGUAGCCGGCCUGAGAGGGUGUCCGGCCACACUGGGACUGAGAUACGGCCCAGACUCCUACGGGAGGCAGCAGUGGGGAAUAUUGCACAAUGGGCGCAAGCCUGAUGCAGCGACGCCGCGUGAGGGAUGACGGCCUUCGGGUUGUAAACCUCUUUCAGUACCGACGAAGCGCAAGUGACGGUAGGUACAGAAGAAGCACCGGCCAACUACGUGCCAGCAGCCGCGGUAAUACGUAGGGUGCGAGCGUUGUCCGGAAUUACUGGGCGUAAAGAGCUCGUAGGUGGUUUGUCGCGUUGUUCGUGAAAACUCACAGCUUAACUGUGGGCGUGCGGGCGAUACGGGCAGACUGGAGUACUGCAGGGGAGACUGGAAUUCCUGGUGUAGCGGUGGAAUGCGCAGAUAUCAGGAGGAACACCGGUGGCGAAGGCGGGUCUCUGGGCAGUAACUGACGCUGAGGAGCGAAAGCGUGGGGAGCGAACAGGAUUAGAUACCCUGGUAGUCCACGCCGUAAACGGUGGGUACUAGGUGUGGGUUUCCUUCCUUGGGAUCCGUGCCGUAGCUAACGCAUUAAGUACCCCGCCUGGGGAGUACGGCCGCAAGGCUAAAACUCAAAGGAAUUGACGGGGGCCCGCACAAGCGGCGGAGCAUGUGGAUUAAUUCGAUGCAACGCGAAGAACCUUACCUGGGUUUGACAUGCACAGGACGCCGGCAGAGAUGUCGGUUCCCUUGUGGCCUGUGUGCAGGUGGUGCAUGGCUGUCGUCAGCUCGUGUCGUGAGAUGUUGGGUUAAGUCCCGCAACGAGCGCAACCCUUGUCUCAUGUUGCCAGCGGGUAAUGCCGGGGACUCGUGAGAGACUGCCGGGGUCAACUCGGAGGAAGGUGGGGAUGACGUCAAGUCAUCAUGCCCCUUAUGUCCAGGGCUUCACACAUGCUACAAUGGCCGGUACAAAGGGCUGCGAUGCCGUGAGGUGGAGCGAAUCCUUUCAAAGCCGGUCUCAGUUCGGAUCGGGGUCUGCAACUCGACCCCGUGAAGUCGGAGUCGCUAGUAAUCGCAGAUCAGCAACGCUGCGGUGAAUACGUUCCCGGGCCUUGUACACACCGCCCGUCACGUCAUGAAAGUCGGUAACACCCGAAGCCGGUGGCCUAACCCCUUGUGGGAGGGAGCCGUCGAAGGUGGGAUCGGCGAUUGGGACGAAGUCGUAACAAGGUAGCCGUA